UGUUUGGGAACACAUCUUGAGAAAUUGGAAAUAGACCGCGUUCGCUUUUCUGCAGUUCAGUCUGCCAAGAAGAUCGAAGAAGCAAAGAAGGAAAAACCAAAAGGCAAAUUUGAGGUACCAUUCAAUCUAAUCAUGGGUCCUGCGUGUGAUACUAAGUGAUCGAGCUGGUAGCUACAGUUAUGAGGCAAGUUUUAAUUUUUGGUAUCAGCAAUUUUGAUUCAAUGCAUGUGAAGUGUUUCAUGUUUUGCAAAAGAGUUUCAACAUUCUUUAGAUUUCACUGGCAGUGACGUCUUCAUCUGUGCAGGGUGCAGGGGAACAGAGCCAAUAACAGUGCGAGAUGGAACAGAGCCAAUAACAGUGCGAGAUCAAGUUCUUCAAUAUGGUUAUAUGGUUGGUCUUGUGCUUGAUUAGAUGAAAAACGUUGUAGUAUCUCUAACAUUUUCGUCUUUAUGCUUUGCGCUUCUGUGCUAUGAUGACUGAACAAUCUGGUUUCACAUCUUUUGUUUGUGUGUUUCUUGCUUUCUUCAGUACAAUUGAGUAGCUUUUGAGCAGAGUUCAUCCUUUCCAAAAUUUUCUAGUGUGUUUUCUUUGGUUUUAGGUGAAAGCUAGUGCCUAAACUACCAUCUAUAAAGCACCCUGAGGGGAAGUUGGAAGAAUAAUGGAUGAGAAUGUUAAGAAAAGCUAUCAUAAUCUACACAAGGAAUUAGACUAUGACAAGAUAAAGUAAAAUGAUUCCUUGUAAAGCCAAGUAUGAAAACAAAGCAUGUGUUUGAAUACGACUGCUUGAAGCAUAAAUUGCACUCAAAUUCUUCUUUUCUCCAUUCUUUCUGUUGGGAGUUUUUCAACAUCAGUUUCUCUAAUUUCUGUAUCUAAUUUCUGUUGGAUUUAUCAGCAUAAGUUUUCUCCAUCAUAUGUUGAUUGAUAUUUCCAUCAUAAACUUAUGAUGAUAUAUCCAAAAUAAACUUAUGAUAAAAAACACUGCAUCAAAAACAAGUUCUCAGAAAGAUACACAAAAAGCC
RNAcentral lists this long non-coding RNA (1019 nucleotides) under Salvia miltiorrhiza (redroot sage). Its description in RNAcentral is "long non-coding RNA (SMIL_LNC004675)". The record is from RNAcentral. Lineage: Eukaryota; Viridiplantae; Streptophyta; Magnoliopsida; Lamiales; Lamiaceae.